GGCAGUGACGCCCCUUUCCCUCGGGACGUCUUCCGAGGUGCUGCAUGGUUGUCGUCAGCUCGUGCCGUGAGGUGUCGGCUUAAGUGCCAUAACGAGCGCAACCCCCGCGUGCAGUUGCCAGCAGGAAAGGCUGGGGACUCUGCACGGACUGCCGGCGCAAGCCGCGAGGAAGGCGGGGAUGACGUCAAAUCAGCACGGCCCUUACGUCCGGGGCGACACACGUGUUACAAUGGGGGGUACAGCGGGAAGCCAGGCGGCGACGCCGAGCGGAACCCGAAAGCCCCUCUCAGUUCGGAUCGGAGUCUGCAACCCGACUCCGUGAAGCUGGAUUCGCUAGUAAUCGCGCAUCAGCCAUGGCGCGGUGAAUACGUUCCCGGGCCUUGUACACACCGCCCGUCAAGCCAUGGGAGCCGAGGGCGCUUGAAGUGCGUCGCCGGGAGGCGCGCCCUAGAGCGAAAUCGGUGACUGGGGCUAAGUCGUAACAAGGUAACCGU
Molecule: ribosomal RNA, 494 nt
Filed under: uncultured bacterium
Lineage: Bacteria
Description: bacterial SSU rRNA
Rfam family: Bacterial small subunit ribosomal RNA
Source: RNAcentral